RNAcentral lists this ribosomal RNA (433 nucleotides) under uncultured bacterium. Its description in RNAcentral is "partial 16S ribosomal RNA". It matches the Rfam family "Bacterial small subunit ribosomal RNA", at positions 29 to 507 of the family's 1533-position model. The record is from RNAcentral.
AACGAACGCUGGCGGCAUGCCUAACACAUGCAAGUCGAACGAGACCUUCGGGUCUAGUGGCGCACGGGUGCGUAACGCGUGGGAACCUGCCCUUAGGUUCGGAAUAACUCCCCGAAAGGGGUGCUAAUACCGGAUAAUGUCUUCGGACCAAAGAUUUAUCGCCUUUGGAUGGGCCCGCGUUGGAUUAGCUAGUUGGUAGGGUAAAAGCCUACCAAGGCGACGAUCCAUAGCUGGUCUGAGAGGAUGAUCAGCCACACUGGGACUGAGACACGGCCCAGACUCCGACGGGAGGCAGCAGUGGGGAAGAUUGGACAAUGGGCGAAAGACUGAUCCAGAAAUGCCGCGUGAGUGAUGAAGGCCUUAGGGGUGUAAAGCUCUUUGACCAGGGAUGAUAAGGAAAGGACAGGGAGAAUAAGAGCCGGCUAACUCCGGG